CAUCGUUUCACCGGGCGUCGGCAAUUUCAGGGCUGUAAACCCAAAUACCGAACACGAAAAUCACUCAAACAAUAUCUAUUCACUGCCAUCUUCCCUCCGCUGCGGAGUUUUGUACACUUCAUACUUCAGAUAAGUGUCAAAUAUGAAUAUUUCGUACUAGAUUAUAAACUAGUCUAGGCCGCUCAUUGCUCAAAAGUUGUUGCCGCCAUUUUACCAUCUACGAGUUUCUACUACAUACUCUACUCGCUUCUAAAUUUAUUGGCGUUUUAUUUUAUUUCCCCGCGUUCCUUUUAGAUAAAAUGUCAAGUUGAUGCGGAUGUUUGAAGGGUGAUGUGUUUUCUGGUGAACAAUUCUAAAUUUGUGAUUGUUGGAAAGUCGUAAGGAGUGAGAUAUUGUGGAAAGUUUAGUGAAUAUUCAGUGAGAGUGGAAAAACUGUGCGAAAUAGCUUUCCUAAGGCCGAGACAGUGAUAUGUUUUCCUUUUGAAUUUUGGGGUUUUUGAUACUUUGUACAAUGGACGAUCAGCGAGCUUGCUAUCUACGCACCAACAUCUCGUGGACGUAUUCAACUAAUUUAUGGUGGACAACCGUUUAUAUUUGAAAAAUAUUUAAAACUGACAAGUGGCGAUGAGAAGAAAUACUGGAGAUGUAAUCAAUGG
RNAcentral lists this unclassified non-coding RNA (656 nucleotides) under Hermetia illucens (black soldier fly). Its description in RNAcentral is "uncharacterized LOC119650912, transcript variant X4". The record is from RNAcentral. Lineage: Eukaryota; Metazoa; Arthropoda; Insecta; Diptera; Stratiomyidae.